Molecule: small RNA, 19 nt
Filed under: Arabidopsis thaliana (thale cress)
Lineage: Eukaryota; Viridiplantae; Streptophyta; Magnoliopsida; Brassicales; Brassicaceae
Description: ATSL050160
Source: RNAcentral
GAUCUUCAUCAUCACCAUU